This 253-nucleotide ribosomal RNA is filed under the name uncultured bacterium. RNAcentral's name for it is "partial 16S ribosomal RNA". It matches the Rfam family "Bacterial small subunit ribosomal RNA", at positions 524 to 776 of the family's 1533-position model. The record is from RNAcentral.
UACGGAGGGAGCAAGCGUUAUUCGGAAUUACUGGGCGUAAAGCGCACGUAGGCGGCUUUGUAAGUAAGUUGUGAAAUCCCGGAGCUCAACUCCGGAACUGCCUUUUAGACUGCAUCGCUUGAAUCCAGGAGAGGUGAGUGGAAUUCCGAGUGUAGAGGUGAAAUUCGUAGAUAUUCGGAAGAACACCAGUGGCGAAGGCGGCUCACUGGACUGGUAUUGACGCUGAGGUGCGAAAGCGUGGGGAGCAAACAGG